Molecule: unclassified non-coding RNA, 345 nt
Filed under: soil metagenome
Description: partial contains 5.8S ribosomal RNA, internal transcribed spacer 2, and large subunit ribosomal RNA
Rfam family: 5.8S ribosomal RNA (bases 1-120)
Source: RNAcentral
GAUGAAGAACGCAGUGAAAUGCGAUACGUAAUGUGAAUUGCAGAAUUCAGUGAAUCAUCGAGUCUUUGAACGCACAUUGCGCCCCCUGGUAUUCCGGGGGGCAUGCCUGUCCGAGCGUCAUUGCUGCCCUCAAGCACGGCUUGUGUGUUGGGCCUCCGUCCUCCUCCCGGGGGACGGGCCCGAAAGGCAGCGGCGGCACCGCGUCCGGUCCUCGAGCGUAUGGGGCUUCGUCACCCGCUCGUGUAGGCCCGGCCGGCGCUUGCCGACACAUCAAUCUUUUUUCCAGGUUGACCUCGGAUCAGGUAGGGAUACCCGCUGAACUUAAGCAUAUCAAUAAGCGGAGGA